RNAcentral lists this long non-coding RNA (1320 nucleotides) under Bemisia tabaci. RNAcentral describes it as "lncRNA ENSASIAIIG004617". The record is from RNAcentral. Lineage: Eukaryota; Metazoa; Arthropoda; Insecta; Hemiptera; Aleyrodidae.
UAAUUUGAACAAUGAGGUCAAUAAUGGAUCGUUAUUACAUAAAGACGUUGGAUGAUGAGGAAAAAAUCAGUUGUUUAAAAAAACUGUGGGGUAUAAAGGCGUUGUGGUAUUGCUGGUGUAUCAGUUGAAGAUCAGCCUCAACAUUGAAGUGAUUCUCUGCGGCAUCGUAGAUUCUCAAAGCCACAUAGCUAUCUCUACAGCUUCAGAAGUUAAGAUGGCUAUCGACAAAAUCAUCGUAAUCGCUUUAAUGGUUAUUUUGGGGCUGAUCGGAGGUGCGUAUUCUGAGGAUUGCGGCGCGGCGCCAGCGAGUAGAAGAAAGUAAGACGGCAAAUUCGACGUGCGAAUGCUACGGAGGACAGGGCAUGUGCAAACCGGCGUGCGGAGUCAGGAGGAUAUCAUUCAUAAUAUUACUUCGAUUUUUCGACAAAGGUUCAAGCAUUACGCUUAGCUUGAAAAAUUGUAACUCUCAAGAUUGAAUUUGUCGUUAAAAUGUAAAAGGGGUGCGAAUUGUUCUAAGCCUCGCAAUCACAUGGACACGCAGUGGAUAUGUCCAGUGGGCUGAAUGUUGCAAUUGAUAGACAAAGCUUUGGACAAAGAUGACAAAAGGGAUAUGGAGGGGUCCUAUUGGUGGAAGCGGGUGGUUGCAAUGGACAAAGGAGGUGGGUAAUAGACUAACUAUUGACAACCCACGAGACACCCUUUAGUUAGUCCAUUAUUUACCCCCUUAGUCUAUGGGAACCACGAAUUUCAACCAAUAGGAUCCCUCCAUACUCUCUUUGUCUGCUUUGUCUAUCAAUUCCACAGCCCGCUGAAAAUUUUGGAGGCAGCGAUUCCUUUUCUUCAUUUCUUUUAUUUUUUUUUGUCGACGGUUUUUAUCUCCUGUGCCACCAUAUGAUUUCGGCUUACGUCUACUCCUGAAUUGCAGUCUCAAAAGCUGAUACCUAUUUUACUGUUUUACGGAAAUACAGCGCGUUCAAAAUUGUAAAAACUUUUUUUGGGCCCGUUGUUUUCUUGUGUCAUUUUAAGGAAACCGACCGCAUCGUAGAAAUGUGCCAAAAUCUUGAUCAACGCCUUGAGUUGACCUUUUAGCGUUGCAAACUCAAAGCGCUAUAACAGGACAUUACAGUAGCCUGGAGCAAUUUACACCCCUAAAAAGUGAAUCCUUUGUCAAAGUGUUAUGCCUGUGAAAUAUAAAUGAGAUCUCAAACAUGACAGCGCUUUUUCAAUAAUAUUGUUUGGUGAAACGAUGUUGGCUUGCACUUCGUCGUUCCCCGCACAAAGGAACGUAACUCUAUUCCAAGGUUGCAAAAUUGACUCAAA